ACUCCUACGGGAGGCAGCAGUGGGGAAUAUUGGACAAUGGGCGGAAGCCUGAUCCAGCAACGCCGCGUGAGGGAUGACGGCCUUCGGGUUGUAAACCUCUUUCAGUAUCGACGAAGGCCCGGUUGAUGGGUUUGACGGUAGGUACAGAAGAAGCACCGGCCAACUACGUGCCAGCAGCCGCGGUAAUACGUAGGGUGCGAGCGUUGUCCGGAAUUAUUGGGCGUAAAGGGCUCGUAGGCGGUUUGUCGCGUCGGGAGUGAAAGCCAUCCCUCA
This 273-nucleotide ribosomal RNA is filed under the name uncultured bacterium. Its description in RNAcentral is "partial 16S ribosomal RNA". It matches the Rfam family "Bacterial small subunit ribosomal RNA", at positions 335 to 611 of the family's 1533-position model. The record is from RNAcentral.